CGGUGUGCUUGCGGAAGCUCGGUUUCUAGUCGAUGUUUUAAAGUUUGUUCACUUGCGCAAUGGUCUGGACGGGCGAGGAAACAUUGGCUUUAAUUGAAAUGUACCAUGCUCGUCCAACAUUGUGGGACAGCAAUAAUGUGCACUACAAAAAUAAAAAAUCGGAGACACGAUAAUUUAGUUGAACUCGCAGUGUCAUUUGGUGUCGACAAACAAGAAAUUGAACGAAAAAUAAAAAAAUUAUAAAGUCAUUUCCUGAGGGAAAGAAAAAAAGAAACGGUGUGCAGAAAAACUGGAAGUGGUGCGGACGAACCAUAUGAAAGUAAAUGGUUUGCUUUCCAAGCAAUGAUGUUCCUGGCUAACAAAAACAAACCACGAAAUACAAAGGAUAAUGUCGAGGAUUCAGCGGACCUGGAUGAACACAACGAUAGUCAAGACAAAGACAUUGGGAAUGAAAUCCAUAUUGAAUCCGGAAGUUCUCGAGUGAAGCAGGCAUCGACAACAUUGCGGAACUCGGAACAUUGCUUCAAAAGUGACAAAAACCAAAGAGUUUGAAUCCCCAAAGGCACUCAAGACCAAAUCCUCAAAACGUACACUCAUGGCUACUUCCGGUACUUCCAGUGCACUCGUUUUUGAUGAAGCUGUGAAUCUCAUGAAAUCCAUUCAGUCAAAAAGAGUAGACAUAAAAGACGAACAUUAUUUGUAUGGCGAACAGAUAGCGAUUAGGCUACGCAGGAUUCCACCACGAACAAGGUUUUAUGUUCAACAAUCCUUCAACCAAAUACAUAGUGCGCCAAAAACAGCUGCGCUUAGUAAUCCGUCGCAAUUCACCUCGCCAAUGGUAUUCGUCCCCAUGCUCUAUCAACCGCCCGGACCACCUAGCAUGGCCUAUCAAACUCCACAAUCACAAUCCCCUACAUAUGUUUUAUCUGACUGUAUUUAUUGUUCUUGAUUCGAUUUUUGUAAUAAUGUAAAUAAAAAUGAACUAUAUUAAAA
Long non-coding RNA from Toxorhynchites rutilus septentrionalis, 993 nucleotides. RefSeq lists it as uncharacterized. The record is from RefSeq and is a predicted model, not a curated record. The transcript has 2 exons. NCBI's taxonomy places the organism in Eukaryota, Metazoa, Arthropoda, Insecta, Diptera, Culicidae.